RNAcentral lists this ribosomal RNA (301 nucleotides) under uncultured bacterium. RNAcentral describes it as "partial 16S ribosomal RNA". It matches the Rfam family "Bacterial small subunit ribosomal RNA", at positions 509 to 807 of the family's 1533-position model. The record is from RNAcentral.
CAGUCGCCACGGUAAUGCGUAGGUGGCAAGCGUUGUCCGGAAUUAUUGGGCGUAAAGGGCUCGCAGGCGGUUUCUUAGGUCUGAUGUGAAAGCCCCCGGCUCAACCGGGGAGGGUCAUUGGAAGCUGGGAAACUUGAGUGCAGAAGAGGAGAGUGGAAUUCCACGUGUAGCGGUGAAAUGCGUAGAGAUGUGGAGGAACACCAGUGGCGAAGGCGACUCCCUGGUCUGUAACUGACGCUGAGGAGCGAAAGCUUGGGGAGCGAACAGGAUUAGAUACCCCCGUAGUCCCUGUCUCUUAUAC